RNAcentral lists this ribosomal RNA (457 nucleotides) under uncultured bacterium. RNAcentral's name for it is "partial 16S ribosomal RNA". It matches the Rfam family "Bacterial small subunit ribosomal RNA", at positions 355 to 824 of the family's 1533-position model. The record is from RNAcentral.
UGGGGAAUCUUAGACAAUGGGGGAAACCCUGAUCUAGCCAUGCCGCGUGAGCGAUGAAGGCCUUAGGGUUGUAAAGCUCUUUUCAGCUGGGAAGAUAAUGACGGUACCAGCAGAAGAAGCCCCGGCUAACUCCGUGCCAGCAGCCGCGGUAAUACGGAGGGGGCUAGCGUUGUUCGGAAUUACUGGGCGUAAAGCGCACGUAGGCGGAUUAGUCAGUCAGAGGUGAAAUCCCAGGGCUCAACCCUGGAACUGCCUUUGAUACUGCUAGUCUUGAGGUCGAGAGAGGUGAGUGGAAUUUCCCGAGUGUAGAGGUGAAAUUCGUAGAUAUUCGGAGGAACACCAGUGGCGAAGGCGGCUCACUGGCUCGAUACUGACGCUGAGGUGCGAAAGCGUGGGGGAGCAAAACAGGAUUAGAUACCCUGGUAGUCCACGCCGUAAGCGAUGAAUGCCAGUCGUC